This 330-nucleotide ribosomal RNA is filed under the name uncultured bacterium. RNAcentral's name for it is "bacterial SSU rRNA". It matches the Rfam family "Bacterial small subunit ribosomal RNA", at positions 568 to 898 of the family's 1533-position model. The record is from RNAcentral.
UGCGCAGGCGGUUCGCUGUGUCCGAUGUGAAAGCCCCGGGCUCAACCUGGGAAUGGCAUGGGAAACUGGCGGGCUGGAGUGUGGCAGAGGGGGGUGGAAUUCCGCGUGUAGCAGUGAAAUGCGUAGAGAUGCGGAGGAACACCGAUGGCGAAGGCAGCCCCCUGGGCCAACACUGACGCUCAGGCACGAAAGCGUGGGGAGCAAACAGGAUUAGAUACCCUGGUAGUCCACGCCCUAAACGAUGUCGACUGGGUGUUGGGGAAGCGAUUCCUUGGUACCGAAGCUAACGCGUGAAGUCGACCGCCUGGGGAGUACGGCCGCAAGGUUAAA